UCUUCAUCUCACACACUCUCUCGCCUCUCUGACAGGUGAGAAAGUGUGGAAUAGGAAGAGA
RNAcentral lists this microRNA precursor (61 nucleotides) under Pristionchus pacificus. Its description in RNAcentral is "mir-8364 microRNA precursor family". It matches the Rfam family "mir-8364 microRNA precursor family". The record is from Rfam by way of RNAcentral. Lineage: Eukaryota; Metazoa; Nematoda; Chromadorea; Rhabditida; Neodiplogasteridae.